This 392-nucleotide ribosomal RNA is filed under the name Uroglenopsis americana. RNAcentral's name for it is "partial small subunit ribosomal RNA". It matches the Rfam family "Eukaryotic small subunit ribosomal RNA", at positions 30 to 432 of the family's 1831-position model. Lineage: Eukaryota; Chrysophyceae; Chromulinales; Chromulinaceae. The record is from RNAcentral.
GCUUGUCUCAAAGAUUAAGCCAUGCAUGUCUCAGUAUAAGUUCCUGUACGGCGAAACUGCGAAUGGCUCAUUAAAACAGUUACAGUUUAUUUGAUGGUUCAUACUACUUGGAUAACCGUAGUAAUUCUAGAGCUAAUACAUGCGUCAAAACCCAACUUCUGGGAGGGUUGUAUUUAUUAGAUGGAAACCAAUGCGGGGCAACCCGGUAUAUGGUGAUUCAUAAUAACUUUCGGAUCGAUCUUCGGAUCGAUGCAUCAUUCAAGUUUCUGCCCUAUCAGCUUUGGAUGGUAGGGUAUUGGCCUACCAUGGCUUUAACGGGUAACGGAGAAUUAGGGUUCGAUUCCGGAGAGGGAGCCUGAGAAAUGGCUACCACAUCCAAGGAAGGCAGCAGG